GUCUGUUUCUUGACCAGUACAGAAGCAGUCUGGUGGAUGCACUAAGAAGAUUACUGCGACCUGAUGACACGAGACACGCUGGCAGAAAGCACAGGCCUGAGAGUGUGUCGCUGUGACAGCUACGACUCACAUCUGUGGGACCUUCACCUGAAGAUGCAGAGAGAAGGAAAGGAGGUGUACGAUGAGAACAUCCACUAUCCUCUUCUCCUCACUCUCACUCACGGAUCCAGUCCAGCCCUGAUCUCAGCUGGAAAAAAGCCAUCUCAUGCCAGGCUGCCUUUCAGUACCACCCACCCCGGCUUUGCCACUGUGUCCUCAGCUCCUGUAUGUGUGUGUGUGUGUGUGUGUGCGCCAGGACCAACCAGCCUCUAAUCAUACUCCUCAACUCUGAUAAUUUUUUAAAACUACCAUGUGUGUGUGUGUGUGUGUGCAGUGAAACAGACUAUGUAGGUGAGUUGCCGUGUGUGUGUGUGUGUGUGUGUACUUGACCUUUUUACUGUGCAACAACAGUGUGAAAUGCAUAAAAUGGGAAUGGAGAACACAUCCCUCCGUCUCAUCCUACAAAAACUGUGGAUGUGACGCUUAGAUAUGAACUCAUUCAAUGACUGUGAGUAUGCGUGAUAUCAGAGAUGAUGUUUCAGGGCAGAACAUUAUGAAUUUAUGAAUUCGACUCUAGAGGCUGAUACAGCUAAUCAGGUUCGCAGGACUAUCUUGGCCUCUUUACAAAAACAUAAAUGAGGCGCAGGGUCGUCUUGAUCAUGAGAUCUUGUUAUCAUAAUGACACCAGCUCUCAGUUAGCUGCUGAUUCUGUAUCUACAAUCAAAGGUUCAUUCUGACACCAAAGGUCAUGAAGGGUUGAGAUGGAUGCAGCUGUGCUGAAUGUUAUUUGCUUCACUGUGAAAUGCUCUCACCUGGCAUUUUUUUAUUGAAGAACUGACGAGAUAUGACCGAUUAGGCCAGCCUAAGACUGAAUUGAUGUCUUGACAGCGUCACACUAGCACUGGUCAGACCUGCAGCACUGUUCUCCUGUAUGUUUGAGUGCACUCACACUGCAUGCUGGACUAAUGGCCAUAGAAUGUCAGAUGGAUUAUUUGUAGCAGGAUGUCCAAAUUGGUCAUUUCUAUACAAUUAAAGUGAAUGGUAAUCAUAAGUAUCGUUUUCAAAGAAUAGUAACUUAAGUUUUAGUCUUUUUUUGAAUGCAAAAGCUUUAGAGAUAUAGAUUAACGUGAAAGCUGGGUGGACUGGGUGCUAUUUUGCCCUUUUUUGGAACUUGACAGUCUCUGGUCUUCAUCCACUUUGAUAGCAUAGAUAAGAGCAGUAUGGACAUUCUGCAAAACUUCUCUUUUUAUGUUUCAUGAAGGAAAGAAAAUAUGCGUUUGGAAAUGGGUGAGUAAUCAUGAUGAUUUUCAAGUUUAAAUUAAAUUCAUAAUUACAGUUCAUAGGAGUUCAGUUUAGAUGCCACUCUCUGCCAUAGAAUAAAAAUUAAGACAUUUUAUUGUGAUUUCUCACUUUUUUUUUCUUUUUUUUUAUUAAGUCUAUAUCUAGGAUUCUGACUUUUUCCUUAACUAUAAAUCUACAUCCUGCAGGGUUUUUUUCACUGUGGGAUAAACUAAAUAAAAAAGAGAACUAUGACUUUUUUCUCAUGAUUCUGACUGAAGUUUACAUCUCCCA
Long non-coding RNA from Carassius auratus (goldfish), 1671 nucleotides. RefSeq lists it as uncharacterized. NCBI's taxonomy places the organism in Eukaryota, Metazoa, Chordata, Actinopteri, Cypriniformes, Cyprinidae. The record is from RefSeq and is a predicted model, not a curated record. The transcript has 3 exons.